UACGGGGGGAGCAAGCGUUGUUCGGAUUUAUUGGGCGUAAAGAGCUCGUAGGCGGCUUGUCGCGUCGUCUGUGAAAUCCCGUGGCUCAACUGCGGGCUGCAGUCGAUACGGGCAGGCUGGAGUUCGGUGAGGGAGACUGGAAUUCCUGGUGUAGCGGUGGAAAUGCGCAGAUAUCAGGAGGAACACCGGUGGCGAAGGCGGGUCUCUGGGCCGAUACUGACGCUGAGGAGCGAAAGCGUGGGGAGCGAACAGG
RNAcentral lists this ribosomal RNA (253 nucleotides) under uncultured bacterium. Its description in RNAcentral is "partial 16S ribosomal RNA". It matches the Rfam family "Bacterial small subunit ribosomal RNA", at positions 524 to 776 of the family's 1533-position model. The record is from RNAcentral.